This 85-nucleotide transfer RNA is filed under the name Streptomyces sp. CC77. RNAcentral's name for it is "tRNA-Ser". It matches the Rfam family "tRNA". Rfam says of the family: Transfer RNA (tRNA) molecules are approximately 80 nucleotides in length. Lineage: Bacteria; Bacillati; Actinomycetota; Actinomycetes; Kitasatosporales; Streptomycetaceae. RNAcentral also lists the same sequence under 1 other name. The record is from RNAcentral.
GGAGGAUUGGCCGAGUGGUAAGGCACCGGCUUGCUAAGCCGUGGUCGGGGUCCGCCCCGCGCGCGUUCGAUCCGCGCAUCCUCCG